CGUCCCCAGGUGGGCUCGAACCACCAACCUUUCGGUUAACAGCCGAACGCGCUAGCCGAUUGCGCCACGGAGAC
RNAcentral lists this transfer RNA (74 nucleotides) under Cordylochernes scorpioides. RNAcentral's name for it is "tRNA-Asn". The record is from RNAcentral. Lineage: Eukaryota; Metazoa; Arthropoda; Arachnida; Pseudoscorpiones; Chernetidae.